AGCGCAGGCGGUUUCUUAAGUCUGAUGUGAAAGCCUUCGGCUCAACCGAAGAAGUGCAUCGGAAACUGGGAAACUUGAGUGCAGAAGAGGACAGUGGAACUCCAUGUGUAGCGGUGAAAUGCGUAGAUAUAUGGAAGAACACCAGUGACGAAGGCGGCUGUCUGGUCUGUAACUGACGCUGAGGCUCGAAAGCAUGGGUAGCAAACA
Molecule: ribosomal RNA, 207 nt
Filed under: uncultured bacterium
Lineage: Bacteria
Description: partial 16S ribosomal RNA
Rfam family: Bacterial small subunit ribosomal RNA
Source: RNAcentral